UACGGAGGGUGCAAGCGUUAUCCGGAUUUAUUGGGUUUAAAGGGUGCGCAGGCGGGUUUGUAAGUCAGCGGUGAAAUCCCACGGCUCAACCGUGGAACUGCCAUUGAUACUGCAGGCCUUGAGUGUAUUUGAAGUGGGCGGAAUGUAGCAUGUAGCGGUGAAAUGCAUAGAUAUGCUACAGAACACCAAUUGCGAAGGCAGCUCACUAAACUACAACUGACGCUCAUGCACGAAAGCGUGGGGAUCAAACAGG
This 253-nucleotide ribosomal RNA is filed under the name uncultured bacterium. Its description in RNAcentral is "partial 16S ribosomal RNA". It matches the Rfam family "Bacterial small subunit ribosomal RNA", at positions 524 to 776 of the family's 1533-position model. The record is from RNAcentral.